AUUGAACGCUGGCGGCAGGCCUAACACAUGCAAGUCGAGCGGAUGAAGGGAGCUUGCUCCUGGAUUCAGCGGCGGACGGGUGAGUAAUGCCUAGGAAUCUGCCUGGUAGUGGGGGAUAACGUCCGGAAACGGGCGCUAAUACCGCAUACGUCCUGCGGGAGCAAGUGGGGGAUGUUCGGACCUCACGCUAUCAGAUGAGCCUAGGUCGGCUUAGCUAGUUGGUGGGGUAAGGGCCUACCAAGGCGACGAUCCGUAACUGGUCUGAGAGGAUGAUCAGUCACACUGGAACUGAGACACGGUCCAGACUCCUGCGGGAGGCAGCAGUGGGGAAUAUUGGACAAUGGGCGAAAGCCUGAUCCAGCCAUGCCGCGUGUGUGAAGAAGGUCUUCGGAUUGUAAAGCACUUUAAGUUGGGAGGAAGGGCAGUAAGUUAAUACCUUGCUGUUUUGACGUUACCAACAGAAUAAGCACCGGCUAACUUCGUG
This 484-nucleotide ribosomal RNA is filed under the name uncultured bacterium. RNAcentral's name for it is "partial 16S ribosomal RNA". It matches the Rfam family "Bacterial small subunit ribosomal RNA", at positions 30 to 507 of the family's 1533-position model. The record is from RNAcentral.